UACGAAGGGUGCUAGCGUUGUUCGGAAUUACUGGGCGUAAAGCGCGCGUAGGCGGAUGAUUAAGUCAGGGGUGAAAUCCCGGGGCUCAACCUCGGAACUGCCUUUGAUACUGGUCAUCUGGAGUCCGGAAGAGGUUGGUGGAAUUCCGAGUGUAGAGGUGAAAUUCGUAGAUAUUCGGAGGAACACCAGAGGCGAAGGCGGCCAACUGGUCCGGUACUGACGCUGAGGCGCGAAAGCGUGGGGAGCAAACAGG
RNAcentral lists this ribosomal RNA (253 nucleotides) under uncultured bacterium. Its description in RNAcentral is "partial 16S ribosomal RNA". It matches the Rfam family "Bacterial small subunit ribosomal RNA", at positions 524 to 776 of the family's 1533-position model. The record is from RNAcentral.